GCUGAAUUUAAUGAGACUUGAUAGUUAAAGCAAAGGGUGAUGGGAAAAUCCAGAGAAACAAACACUAAGAAGCAUGCCAUCUGGUGGAUAUACAUGGGUACAGCAACUACAUAAGGUGACUAUCUCUCAGGAUGAAGAGGAAGCAUCCACAUCAUUUGACCAAAGAAGCUACCUGGCCUGAGAUGACUAUCAGCACAUCUGAUUCUGGACAAGGGGCCUUGUGUCCUGAAUUUGAAAAAAGGACAUCUCAGAGUACAAUUAAUAAACUAAUAUUGAAUUUGUAA
Carassius gibelio (silver crucian carp) is the source of this 284-nucleotide long non-coding RNA. RefSeq lists it as uncharacterized. The record is from RefSeq and is a predicted model, not a curated record. Lineage: Eukaryota; Metazoa; Chordata; Actinopteri; Cypriniformes; Cyprinidae. The transcript is spliced from 2 exons.